AACGGGAAACGAUGCUAGCUUGCUAGCAGGCGUCGAGUGGCGGACGGGUGAGUAAUGCAUAGGAAUCUACCUAAUAGUGGGGGACAACCUAGUGAAAACCAGGCUAAUACCGCAUAAUCCCUACGGGGCAAAGCAGGGGACCUUCGGGCCUUGCGCUAAUAGAUGAGCCUAUGUCGGAUUAGCUAGUUGGUGAGGUAAUGGCUCACCAAGGCAACGAUCCGUAGCUGGUUUGAGAGGAUGAUCAGCCACACUGGGACUGAGACACGGCCCAGACUCCUACGGGAGGCAGCAGUGGGGAAUAUUGCACAAUGGAGGAAACUCUGAUGCANCAAUGCCGCGUGUGUGAAGAAGGCCUUAGGGUUGUAAAGCACUUUCAGUAGGGAGGAAAAGUUUAAGGUUAAUAACCUUAGGCCCG
RNAcentral lists this ribosomal RNA (415 nucleotides) under uncultured Gammaproteobacteria bacterium. Its description in RNAcentral is "bacterial SSU rRNA". It matches the Rfam family "Bacterial small subunit ribosomal RNA", at positions 65 to 475 of the family's 1533-position model. The record is from RNAcentral. Lineage: Bacteria; Pseudomonadati; Pseudomonadota; Gammaproteobacteria.